This 226-nucleotide ribosomal RNA is filed under the name uncultured bacterium. Its description in RNAcentral is "partial 16S ribosomal RNA". It matches the Rfam family "Bacterial small subunit ribosomal RNA", at positions 538 to 763 of the family's 1533-position model. The record is from RNAcentral.
GCGUUGCUCGGAAUCACUGGGCGUAAAGCGCACGUAGGCGGCUUUUUAAGUCGGGGGUGAAAUCCUGGAGCUCAACUCCAGAACUGCCUUCGAUACUGAGAAGCUCGAGUCCGGGAGAGGUGAGUGGAACUGCGAGUGUAGAGGUGAAAUUCGUAGAUAUUCGCAAGAACACCAGUGGCGAAGGCGGCUCACUGGCCCGGUACUGACGCUGAGGUGCGAAAGCGUG